AAUCAACGCUGGCGGCGUGCCUAACACAUGCAAGUCGAACGCGAAAGUCCCGCAAGGGAUGAGUAGAGUGGCAAACGGGUGAGUAACACGUGGGUGACCUGCCUUCGAGCGGGGGAUAACGUCCCGAAAGGGACGCUAAUACCGCAUGACAUCCUGCCUUUGAAGAGGUGGAGAUCAAAGCUGGGGAUCGCAAGACCUAGCACUUGAAGAGGGGCCCGCGUCUGAUUAGCUAGUUGGUGGGGUAACGGCUCACCAAGGCAACGAUCAGUAUCCGGCCUGAGAGGGCGGACGGACACACUGGGACUGAGACACGGCCCAGACUCCUACGGGAGGCAGCAGUGGGGAAUUGUUCGCAAUGGGCGCAAGCCUGACGACGCAACGCCGCGUGGAGGAUGAA
This 397-nucleotide ribosomal RNA is filed under the name uncultured bacterium. RNAcentral's name for it is "bacterial SSU rRNA". It matches the Rfam family "Bacterial small subunit ribosomal RNA", at positions 29 to 412 of the family's 1533-position model. The record is from RNAcentral.